UGGAUCGAUGAUGACUGCCGGUGGCAUAUGAGUCAUAGACAAUAAAUACGUGUCUGGAACUCUGAGGUCCGU
This is a small nucleolar RNA of Chlorocebus sabaeus (green monkey), 72 nucleotides long. NCBI's taxonomy places the organism in Eukaryota, Metazoa, Chordata, Mammalia, Primates, Cercopithecidae. The record is from Ensembl.